RNAcentral lists this ribosomal RNA (159 nucleotides) under Globodera pallida. RNAcentral describes it as "5.8S ribosomal RNA". The stretch from base 40 to 159 matches the Rfam family "5.8S ribosomal RNA", at positions 1 to 122 of the family's 154-position model. Rfam says of the family: 5.8S ribosomal RNA (5.8S rRNA) is a component of the large subunit of the eukaryotic ribosome. It is transcribed by RNA polymerase I as part of the 45S precursor that also contains 18S and 28S rRNA. Functionally, it is thought that 5.8S rRNA may be involved in ribosome translocation. The record is from RNAcentral. Lineage: Eukaryota; Metazoa; Nematoda; Chromadorea; Rhabditida; Heteroderidae.
UUAUAAAUUUUUUUAUGCAAUUCGAUUGCUAAAAUAUUCUAGUCUUAUCGGUGGAUCACUCGGCUCGUGGAUCGAUGAAGAACGCAGCCAACUGCGAUAAUUAGUGUGAACUGCAGAAACCUUGAACACAGAACUUUCGAAUGCACAUUGCGCCAUUGG